GUGAGUAACACGUGGGUAACCUACCUAUAAGACUGGGAUAACUUCGGGAAACCGGAGCUAAUACCGGAUAACAUUUGGAACCGCAUGGUUCUAAAGUGAAAGAUGGUUUUGCUAUCACUUAUAGAUGGACCCGCGCCGUAUUAGCUAGUUGGUAAGGUAACGGCUUACCAAGGCGACGAUACGUAGCCGACCUGAGAGGGUGAUCGGCCACACUGGAACUGAGACACGGUCCAGACUCCUACGGGAGGCAGCAGUAGGGAAUCUUCCGCAAUGGGCGAAAGCCUGACGGAGCAACGCCGCGUGAGUGAUGAAGGGUUUCGGCUCGUAAAACUCUGUUAUUAGGGAAGAACAAACGUGUAAGUAACUGUGCAUGUCUUGACGGUACCUAAUCAGAAAGCCACGGCUAACUACGUGCCAGCAGCCGCGGUAAUACGUAGGUGGCAAGCGUUAUCCGGAAUUAUUGGGCGUAAAGCGCGCGUAGGCGGUUUCUUAAGUCUGAUGUGAAAGCCCACGGCUCAACCGUGGAGGGUCAUUGGAAACUGGGAAACUUGAGUGCAGAAGAGGAAAGUGGAAUUCCAUGUGUAGCGGUGAAAUGCGCAGAGAUAUGGAGGAACACCAGUGGCGAAGGCGACUUUCUGGUCUGUAACUGACGCUGAUGUGCGAAAGCGUGGGGAUCAAACAGGAUUAGAUACCCUGGUAGUCCACGCCGUAAACGAUGAGUGCUAAGUGUUAGGGGGUUUCCGCCCCUUAGUGCUGCAGCUAACGCAUUAAGCACUCCGCCUGGGGAGUACGACCGCAAGGUUGAAACUCAAAGGAAUUGACGGGGACCCGCACAAGCGGUGGAGCAUGUGGUUUAAUUUGAAGCAACGCGAAGAACCUUACCAAAUCUUGACAUCCUUUGAAAACUCUAGAGAUAGAGCCUUCCCCUUCGGGGGACAAAGUGACAGGUGGUGCAUGGUUGUCGUCAGCUCGUGUCGUGAGAUGUUGGGUUAAGUCCCGCAACGAGCGCAACCCUUAAGCUUAGUUGCCAUCAUUAAGUUGGGCACUCUAGGUUGACUGCCGGUGACAAACCGGAGGAAGGUGGGGAUGACGUCAAAUCAUCAUGCCCCUUAUGAUUUGGGCUACACACGUGCUACAAUGGACAAUACAAAGGGCAGCUAAACCGCGAGGUCAUGCAAAUCCCAUAAAGUUGUUCUCAGUUCGGAUUGUAGUCUGCAACUCGACUACAUGAAGCUGGAAUCGCUAGUAAUCGUAGAUCAGCAUG
Molecule: ribosomal RNA, 1264 nt
Filed under: Staphylococcus saprophyticus
Lineage: Bacteria; Bacillati; Bacillota; Bacilli; Caryophanales; Staphylococcaceae
Description: bacterial SSU rRNA
Rfam family: Bacterial small subunit ribosomal RNA
Source: RNAcentral